This 189-nucleotide ribosomal RNA is filed under the name uncultured bacterium. Its description in RNAcentral is "partial 16S ribosomal RNA". It matches the Rfam family "Bacterial small subunit ribosomal RNA", at positions 338 to 524 of the family's 1533-position model. The record is from RNAcentral.
CCUACGGGAGGCAGCAGUGAGGAAUAUUGGACAAUGGGCGCAAGCCUGAUCCAGUCAUGCCGCGUGCAGGAAGACUGCCCUAUGCGUUGUAAACUGCUUUUGUACGGGAAGAAACACCCCCUCGUGAGGGGGCUUGACGGUACCGUAAGAAUAAGGAUCGGCUAACUCCGUGCCAGCAGCCGCGGUAAU